RNAcentral lists this ribosomal RNA (490 nucleotides) under uncultured bacterium. Its description in RNAcentral is "partial 16S ribosomal RNA". It matches the Rfam family "Bacterial small subunit ribosomal RNA", at positions 28 to 507 of the family's 1533-position model. The record is from RNAcentral.
GAUGAACGCUAGCUACAGGCUUAACACAUGCAAGUCGAGGGGCAGCAUGGUCUUAGCUUGCUAAGGCCGAUGGCGACCGGCGCACGGGUGAGUAACACGUAUCCAACCUGCCGUCUACUCUUGGACAGCCUUCUGAAAGGAAGAUUAAUACAAGAUGGCAUCAUGAGUCCGCAUGUUCACAUGAUUAAAGGUAUUCCGGUAGACGAUGGGGAUGCGUUCCAUUAGAUAGUAGGCGGGGUAACGGCCCACCUAGUCUUCGAUGGAUAGGGGUUCUGAGAGGAAGGUCCCCCACAUUGGAACUGAGACACGGUCCAAACUCCUACGGGAGGCAGCAGUGAGGAAUAUGGGUCAAGGGGCGAGAGCCUGAACCAGCCAAGUAGCGUGAAGGACGACUGCCCUAUGGGUUGUAAACUUCUUUUAUAAAGGAAUAAAGUCGGGUAUGGAUACCCGUUUGCAUGUACUUUAUGAAUAAGGAUCGGCUAACUCCGUG